GGGUUUCUCUUCUUGUUUCUGCAACUGUGCUGCACACCCAAGGCUAGCUGACCACAGAACUUCCAAGGAUUUGCCUUUCAUCUCGCGUCUCAGGCUGAAAUUGAGUCGUAUUGCCGUGGGUUCCAUGGCGUCUGGCAGAAGGACACGGUCAUCUCCUGACGGUAUUUGUGAACAGGACCUUAUGUUUGUGAGUGGAACCUUAUUUGGAAACAGGAAACUGGUCCCAGUGCAAUGUGGCCCGUGCUCUUCUAGGGAGCUGAAGACAACAUGAACAGCAAGAAUGUGAGCAAAGACAGAAGCUACUGAAGUGAUACGUCUGAAGGUUGCUGUCGGGUCUCCGGGAGCUGGGAUGGAGACCGAGGGCACACUCUACUCAAAGCCUCUGCAAAGAGCAGCAUGACAGAAGACACUUCUGUGUGAGCCGCCCAAUUUGGGGCUCUCUUUGGUCUAAAGAAUUUUUCCAAAUUUGUUGGUGGAUAGUCAGUUGGAUUUGAACCCAGGACCUCAUACAGGCCAGGCAAGCCCUGUACCACAAAGCUGCAUCUCUAGAUUUUUACACACAGAAAGCUGAAACAGUGUAGAGUGUGCAAACAAACAGAAAGAGGGUGCCGUAGAGGGAAGGUCCCGGGUAUCAUCUGUGUGGAGCACUUAUGUAAACCCACAAUGUUGGGGAGCUGAUGGAAGGAAGCUCACACUCUUUGGAGCUUUCCCCCCAAGAGUGCAAACCAAAUAAACCAAUUUCUAACUU
Rattus norvegicus (Norway rat) is the source of this 748-nucleotide non-coding RNA. The record is from RefSeq and is a predicted model, not a curated record. Lineage: Eukaryota; Metazoa; Chordata; Mammalia; Rodentia; Muridae.